GAAGACGCUGUCUCAGGCCAAAGGAAGACAGGAUGAAUUCGUGACAGGGAAGAAAGUGCCAGCGGAUGAUGUCCAGCUGCCUGUCACAUGGGGUUAUCUUAUGAUUUAGCCAAGGUUAGUCUACUCCAGGCAAGAGUGGAGUUUUAUCAUCCAAACUCUUCUGUGACACAGCGUUCGGCAAAGAUCAUCUAUCUUGAUGAUACCCUACGGCACAUACCAACUGUUAGGAGGAUGACUUCAGCCACAGGAUGAAACAAAUGAUGAGAGACUAGAGUCCAGAAGAUCAGCCAGAGGGCAAGUAUCAUGAUCCAGAUGAAAACUGAUGAGGACCUGGCCUAAAACAGUGAUAAUGAUGAUAGAGAGGAGAGAUCACCAAACAUGUGAUCUUCAGUAGGAGUGUGUGUGUAUGUGUGUGUGUGUGUGUGUGUGUGAGAGAGAGAGAGAGAGAGAGAGAGGUUAUUCCCAGGUUUGUAGCUAGCCAGUCUAAGUAGAUAGAACUGUUAGUAGAGACAAUGAAAUGGGAUAUCAAGCAUGAUACUGAGUUCACUUUAGGACAUGUCAAGUCAGAGGUCCUUAAGGGAUUCUGGAAAGAUGUCUAAUGGGUGGUUUAAAUAAAAAUCUUAAGCUCAGAAGAGCUUAAAGAUACGGAUUUUGCAGUAGCCUUAAUUUCUCAAUCUGUAGCCCUUUCUACAACAGCUGACCUUAAAAAAUAGCCCUUCCUUUAAAGACAAAUUAAUGUAACAGCUUAACAUUUAUAAUUAUUUAUAAUGAAAAUGAGAAAAUGAUUAAGAAUCAACUACUGCAUUGUAUAAUGGUAAUGGCAUUACAUCAUUACCAAACAAUGUUAGAAUUUUAAGUGGAUAUUUAGGCUAGUUUUACACUCUAAUGACCUCUUUAAAAGUAUAUCAUUCUUUUCUGGUUUUGCAUGUUUACUAUUUUGUUAUUCCUCAAGGGUUCUCUAGACUGCAGUAUAUUGUAAGAUAAUCUGUCUUUCUUGCGUCACCUAAAACCUUGUGCAAACGGGUCAUUUAUUUUCUUUCAUUGUGCUACAGAAAUAAUGAUUUUUCUGAUCCUGCCUUUCCUUCUUUUUUCUUGA
This is a long non-coding RNA of Cercocebus atys (sooty mangabey), 1096 nucleotides long. RefSeq lists it as uncharacterized. The record is from RefSeq and is a predicted model, not a curated record. Lineage: Eukaryota; Metazoa; Chordata; Mammalia; Primates; Cercopithecidae. The transcript is spliced from 4 exons.